RNAcentral lists this long non-coding RNA (2005 nucleotides) under Carica papaya (papaya). RNAcentral's name for it is "long non-coding RNA (CPAP_LNC015820)". The record is from RNAcentral. Lineage: Eukaryota; Viridiplantae; Streptophyta; Magnoliopsida; Brassicales; Caricaceae.
CAAAAGAUUAUCUUUUCUCUUUCACUUUCUCUUGUCUUCAAUAAUCUUAACACUCUAAACUUCCACCAUUAAAUCCUUCAUUUUUUACACUUAAUGAUGCCAAUCCUUUUUCUCAACAUUCUUCGCUUUUCUCCUCUUGGUUCCUUGGAAACUUCCAUUUAAAGGUUUUUGUUUUUAUUUAUCUUCUUUUUUUUUUUUUUUUUACUCUCAGUGAUCCUUUUUUGUUUUAUUAUAUUUUUUGACUUAGCAUUAAUUUUUUUUUCAAAAUUUCUUUUUGUGUUGUUGGGUUGUUAAAAAGGAUUAGAUUUGAUGGGUCAAUGGCGGACAUGGGUGAAGCGGGGAAGAUGGAGAACGGUGAGAUGGUUGUGGAGACAAGCUUUACGCGUACCGUGGGUUGGGAGCAUCAAGGAAGCUUUGGAGGAGUUGAAGCUCAAUCCUCUCCAUCUUCUUGAUUUGAUUAGAUUUGAUGGGAUGAUAAGAUUUCGGGUGCACCUCAUUAUGCAUAUAGAGUUGACUGUUGACGGUAAAAUAUGUGGUUUUUCUUUAUCAUUAAUUCUUCUUGAUUUGAUAUCCGUAUCUUAUUGAUUUGUUUUCUAAUAUUUUUGCGUGGUUGAAGGAUAAAGGUCAUCCCUCCUCGCUCGUGCAGCUUGUAGUCAUCCUCAUGCAACCUGUAUUACUUGCUCUUAUAAAUAAUUUGGUUAUGGUAGAAGAUCAUCGGGCAUCGCACUUCCAAAUCUCUGCCCAUUGUGAGUCUUUAUAAUCCUUCAAUUUUCAGUUUUUGAUUGUAUUUAUUUCUUAUUUGAUCAUAUUUACGUGGUAUUGUAGAAUUAUAUUGCACAUGCUUAAAUUUCGUGAAAGUGGAGGUAGAUAUGGUUCUUUAGAUCUAAUAGAAAGAACUGAAAAAAAUGAUUGUAAUUUCUUAUCAUAGAAAAUCUAAGAAAUUUAAAAACAAAUAAAUCAAAUAAAAAGAAACAAAAAAAAGAAAAUAACUAUCAAUUUACAAAUAAUACAUAAAAAUAGAAAGAAAUGAAAAAAAAUGAACUAUCAAAUAUGAAAAAAAAAGCCCAUAUAAAGAAAUUUAGAAAUAAUUAAUUUAGUAAGAAAUAAUAAAUAAUUUAGUAAAUUGAAUCCAGAGACAAAAAAAUCAAUCAAAACAAACAAAAAGAGUUAAACAUAAAUUAAUUUAGAAAUAAGGCCACAUAAAGAAAUCUAGAAAUAAAAAAUAAUUUAGUAAAUUGCAUCCAGAAACAAGAAAUCAUCCAAAUUAAUUUAGAAAGAAACAAAAAAAAAAAAUGAAUUAUCAAAUUAGAAAUAGUAUGAGUAAAAAAUUGAUUAUCAAAUAUGAAAUAAUAACUAGAAAUAAUAAAUAAUUUUGUAAGAAAUAAUAAUCUAGAAAAAAGAAGAAGCCCAUAUUAAUUUAAGGGGUUGAGGGUGCAGGUGCACACCUGUAGACUGUUAAUUUUUCUUUUUCUUUUUUGUCAAAUAUCUCCUUUUUUCUGUGUAUAUGUGAUCGUAGUUUUAAUUUAUUUUAAACAAUCAUGUAUCAGGCGAGGCGAAGAUGUGGAGAAACAUAAUCAUCAUAUGUUAUUUUAAUCUCUUACUUUUUAUUUUUAAGUUAUUUAAUUUAAUACAUAAAAUUAUAUUUUUGGUUAAUUAAUAAAUUAUUUAGUACUUUACAUGCCUAGUUUGAGGAGUAAAGUAAUUUGCAUGUAUUAUUUCAAUGUAGUCAGGCAAUCUAUGAUAUGUUGAUGCUUAAUCCUACGAAACUAUUAUAAGAAAAUUUAAGUUGACUAUCAGCAGGAUGAUGGCAGUGAAAUCAAUUGCUCUCUUGUUGAUCUAUUUGGUCCUCACCUUAUAGUUAUAGUGACGGAAAAAUAUGUGGUUUAUAAUCAUUCUUAUUGAUUUGUUUUUCAAUACUUUUGCGUUGCUCUAGGAGAAUGGUCGUCUCCCCUAUUGUUGCUCGUAGAGGAUCAUCGGGCACAGCAGUUUCAAAUCUCUGCCCAUU